GGUUCCAUGGCUCAGUUGGUUAGCGCGGUAUGUUUCAUUCACAAUGCGAAGGUCGAGAGUUCGACCCUCUCUGGGACCA
RNAcentral lists this transfer RNA (79 nucleotides) under Stachybotrys chartarum IBT 7711. Its description in RNAcentral is "tRNA-Val (CAC) (tRNA-Val-CAC-3-1)". It matches the Rfam family "tRNA". From Rfam's summary of the family: Transfer RNA (tRNA) molecules are approximately 80 nucleotides in length. The record is from RNAcentral. Lineage: Eukaryota; Fungi; Ascomycota; Sordariomycetes; Hypocreales; Stachybotryaceae. RNAcentral also lists the same sequence under 2 other names.